UCUUCGGCAAUGGACGCAAGUCUGACCGAGCAACGCCGCGUGAGUGAAGAAGGUUUUCGGAUCGUAAAGCUCUGUUGUCAGCAAAGAACAGGAGAAAGAGGCAAUGCUUUUUCUAUGACGGUAGCUGACCAGAAAGCCACGGCUAACUACGUGCCAGCAGCCGCGGUAAUACGUAGGUGGCAAGCGUUGCCCGGAUUUAUUGGGCGUAAAGCGAGCGCAGGCGGUGAUUUAAGUCUGAUGUGAAAGCCCCCAGCUCAACUGGGGAGGGUCAUUGGAAACUGGAUCACUUGAGUGCAGAAGAGGAGAGUGGAAUUCCAUGUGUAGCGGUGAAACGCGUAGAUAUAUGGAGGAACACCAGUGGCGAAGGCGGCUCUCUGGUCUGUAACUGACGCUGAGGCUCGAAAGCGUGGGUAGCAAACAGG
This 422-nucleotide ribosomal RNA is filed under the name uncultured bacterium. RNAcentral's name for it is "bacterial SSU rRNA". It matches the Rfam family "Bacterial small subunit ribosomal RNA", at positions 362 to 776 of the family's 1533-position model. The record is from RNAcentral.